AGAAUCAACGCUGGCGGCGUGCCUAACACAUGCAAGUCGCACGAGAAAGGGGCUUCGGCCCUGAGUAAAGUGGCGCACGGGUGAGUAACACGUGACUAACCUACCCUCGAGUGGGGAAUAACCUAGAGAAAUCUGGGCUAAUACCGCAUAACACUUACGAGUCAAAGCAGCAAUGCGCUUGAGGAGGGGUCGCGGCAGAUUAGUUAGUUGGCAGGGUAAUGGCCUACCAAGACAAUGAUCUGUA
RNAcentral lists this ribosomal RNA (244 nucleotides) under uncultured bacterium. RNAcentral's name for it is "partial small subunit ribosomal RNA". It matches the Rfam family "Bacterial small subunit ribosomal RNA", at positions 26 to 285 of the family's 1533-position model. The record is from RNAcentral.